Molecule: small RNA, 384 nt
Filed under: Histoplasma ohiense
Lineage: Eukaryota; Fungi; Ascomycota; Eurotiomycetes; Onygenales; Ajellomycetaceae
Description: hypothetical lncRNA
Source: RNAcentral
CAUCAUCAUCAUGCUUUUCCUCCGUUGGGCGGGCUGGCAACCCCAACGCUGGAGUCAAUUGGCUCUGAGCAUCAUUCAAACCAUUUUCUCCAAAGCCGUGACGAGGACAGAGAUCUAAAAGGGUUGCAGACUCAAGCAACUCUUGCAUGGUGAUCGUCAAGCCCACUUGCAUACAUCUGCCCAGCAUCUGUAUUGCUGUGAGGGAGUCACCCCCAUGUGCUAAAAAUGACUUGUUCAUCUCAAUGUUGCCCAAGGGCAUUUUCAAAACUUCAGCGCAUAUCUUCCGAAGCUGCUCUUGGGCCUCGCUCGGCGGUUGAUGUAUCGGGGUGAUCUCAAGCGUCGCCAUCCUCACUGGUGUCUAUUUGAAGGCGGGAACGGGGGGAA